UCCCUUGUCAUCUAGUCUGGUUAGGAUACAUGGUUUUCACCCAGGCGACCCGGUUUCAAAUCCCGACAAUGGAA
Molecule: non-coding RNA, 74 nt
Organism: Picea glauca (white spruce)
Lineage: Eukaryota; Viridiplantae; Streptophyta; Pinopsida; Pinales; Pinaceae
Source: Rfam